This 449-nucleotide ribosomal RNA is filed under the name uncultured bacterium. RNAcentral's name for it is "partial 16S ribosomal RNA". It matches the Rfam family "Bacterial small subunit ribosomal RNA", at positions 29 to 523 of the family's 1533-position model. The record is from RNAcentral.
AACGAACGCUGGCGGCAUGCCUAACACAUGCAAGUCGAACGGAUCCUUCGGGAUUAGUGGCGCACGGGUGCGUAACGCGUGGGAAUCUGCCCUGGGGUACGGAAUAACUCAGCGAAAGUUGUGCUAAUACCGUAUGAUGUCUUCGGACCAAAGAUUUAUCGCCCUGGGAUGAGCCCGCGUAGGAUUAGCUAGUUGGUGAGGUAAAGGCUCACCAAGGCGACGAUCCUUAGCUGGCCUGAGAGGAUGAUCAGCCACACUGGGACUGAGACACGGCCCAGACUCCUACGGGAGGCAGCAGUGGGGAAUAUUGGACAAUGGGCGCAAGCCUGAUCCAGCAAUGCCGCGUGAGUGAUGAAGGCCUUAGGGUUGUAAAGCUCUUUUACCCGGGAAGAUAAUGACUGUACCGGGAGAAUAAGCCCCGGCUAACUCCGUGCCAGCCGCCGCCGUAA